RNAcentral lists this long non-coding RNA (394 nucleotides) under Lathyrus oleraceus (garden pea). Its description in RNAcentral is "Pisum sativum (pea) long non-coding RNA (PSAT_LNC025900)". The record is from RNAcentral. Lineage: Eukaryota; Viridiplantae; Streptophyta; Magnoliopsida; Fabales; Fabaceae.
UUUUUUAAUACAUUAAAUGUAUUUAGCGCAAAUAAAAAGUUAUUUGUUAUGAAUACACUAGUUUGCAAAUAUUUGUUAGAACAUGGAAUUAUCCGGUUUGUGAAAAUGGAUAAAAAUGUGUGUGUGUGCGCGCGUUACAUAUAAGAGCAACGAAAUCUAAAUAUCACAUAAACGGGAAAAGAAGAAUAACCUCAAUGCCACCCUUCAACUUCUAAGCAACUCCUCAUUUACCUGUUCGUAUGUACUCCAAUAAGGAGCAUAAAACCACACAAACAACAAAAUAAGUGAGAACAUACAAAACACAUAUUGUGCGUUUUGGCCAUGAAGUUUAAUUAAGAACUCUGAUUUUCACUUCCCAGACCCUAAAUCAAACAACAACAAUCAAGAAAAUGAU